UGUGUGGUUCCUUGAGAUGUGUAACAGCGCUGGUGUGGCCGAAUUCGCCCUGGGAUAGCCUGCUGGUCCCAGGGCCACUGGCCUCUCGGGCUUGAAAACGCUGUUGUUCACCUUUUUUCUUCUCUGCAGAGAGAGAAACCGAGGCAGCUCUAGAUCGGCGUUCUGCGGCUGUUUCUGGAUCUGAUACCAGUUUGGACAGUGGCCAUGGCAAGCUGUGUCUCCCCGGCCGUGGAGGGGUCUGUGUUCUGUGACUGGCAGUGUCCCCCACUAAGAGCAGGCUCUGGCUUGAAGGCCCACUGAAACUUCUAGAACCCAGGCCCCCCCUUUCGCUGGAGGUGUUGACGUCAUCUGCUCCACGGCCGCGUGCCCCCCGAUGGGAAGAGGGGGCAGCCCGCUCCCCCGAGAGUACCAGCUUACACUGAACACAGAGACCAUGUCUGGACAAGGAAGCCAAAGAUGACACCUAUCAUUGGAGCAACAUUCCGUGGUCCUCAAAGAUGAUGGCUUUUCAGU
Enhydra lutris kenyoni (northern sea otter) is the source of this 513-nucleotide long non-coding RNA. RefSeq lists it as uncharacterized. The record is from RefSeq and is a predicted model, not a curated record. Lineage: Eukaryota; Metazoa; Chordata; Mammalia; Carnivora; Mustelidae. The transcript is spliced from 3 exons.